This 422-nucleotide ribosomal RNA is filed under the name uncultured bacterium. RNAcentral's name for it is "bacterial SSU rRNA". It matches the Rfam family "Bacterial small subunit ribosomal RNA", at positions 355 to 774 of the family's 1533-position model. The record is from RNAcentral.
UAAGGAAUAUUGGACAAUGGUCGCAAUACUGAUCCAGCCAUGCCGCGUGCAGGAAGACGGCCCUAUGGGUUGUAAACUGCUUUUGUACCAGAGAAAACCUAUCUACGUGUAGAUAGCUGAUAGUAUGGUAAGAAUAAGCAUCGGCUAACUUCGUGCCAGCAGCCGCGGUAAGACGAAGGAUGCAAGCGUUAUCCGGAUUCAUUGGGUUUAAAGGGUGCGUAGGCGGGCUUGUAAGUCAGUGGUGAAAUCUCUCAGCUUAACUGAGAAACUGCCAUUGAUACUGCAGGCCUAGAGUAUAGAUGACNUUGGCGGAAUAUGACAUGUAGUGGUGAAAUACUUAGGUAUGUCAUAGAACACCGAUUGCGAAGGCAGCUAACGAAACUAUAACUGACGCUGAGGCACGAAAGUGCGGGGAUCAAACA